UCAUGAAGAGUGACAGAAAAAUAUAAGGUCAAACUUACAUUUGAGAGAUCUAUCUGAAACUGAAACAUUUAGAAAAAUUCAGUUGUUUUCAGGAUGGCUUUCUUUCUUGGGGCAAUUGACAUAUCCAAGAGGACUGGUUUCUGAGGUUGCUUUCUGCUGGAACUAGUGAACGUCGAACAGAAUUAAGAAAUGAUAGAAGCUAAUGAGCUUCAUAUCACUUCAAAGGAGACAAAACUUUUGU
Non-coding RNA from Odocoileus virginianus texanus, 241 nucleotides. The record is from RefSeq and is a predicted model, not a curated record. NCBI's taxonomy places the organism in Eukaryota, Metazoa, Chordata, Mammalia, Artiodactyla, Cervidae.